CCUACGGGUGGCAGCAGUGGGGAAUAUUGGGCAAUGGAGGAAACUCUGACCCAGCAAUGCCGCGUGAAUGAAGAAGGUCUUCGGAGUGUAAAGUUCUUUAGUCAGGGAAGAAUAAAAUGACGGUACCUGAAGAAUAAGUUCCGGCUAAAUACGUGGCAGGAGCCGCGGGAAUACGUAGGGAGCAAUCGUUGUUCGGAAGUACUGGGCGUAAAGGGUGCGUAGGCGGUUAUACAAGUUAGAAGUGAAAUACACAGGGCUUAAAUGGGGUGCUGCUUUUAAUACUGUAAGACUUGAGUACAGUAGAGGUUGGUGGAAUUCCUGGUGUAGCGGUGGAAUGCGUAGAUAUUAGGAAGAACACCGGAGGCGAAGGCAGCUAACUAGACUGCAACUGACGCUGAGGCACGAAAGUGUGGGUAGCAAACAGGAUUAGAUACCCGGGUAGUC
Molecule: ribosomal RNA, 444 nt
Filed under: uncultured bacterium
Lineage: Bacteria
Description: partial 16S ribosomal RNA
Rfam family: Bacterial small subunit ribosomal RNA
Source: RNAcentral